Molecule: small RNA, 83 nt
Filed under: Flavobacterium weaverense
Lineage: Bacteria; Pseudomonadati; Bacteroidota; Flavobacteriia; Flavobacteriales; Flavobacteriaceae
Description: Flavo-1 RNA
Rfam family: Flavo-1 RNA
Source: RNAcentral
CUUUAGCCCAGAUAGUAGUGGAAAUCCUUUAUCUUUUUUUUGAAAAAAAAAGAUAAAGAUUGCAGCGGAUAGCUGGAAACAGC